AUUUGUACCGACCUCAUUGAUGGCAAAAUAACACAGUAUAUUUUUUUGUGCAAUGCCCGAGCUAUGUCGUAAAAUGCUACAAAAUUCUUAAGGAUGAAGAGCGAUUUCAUCAUAGUCUACAUGCUGUCGUGAAACACUCAAAGUACAUCAUGGUCAACCUUGGCUCAGGUAUUUUCAUGGGCCAAGAUAAAUGGAAGCGGCUGCUGUAGGAGAAAAAAGACUCCCUCUUUGUGCGAGAGACCGACAAGGCGUUGAGGGGCAUCAAAGAGUUGUACAACCGUAGUAUAACUGGUGUCCUAUGCCUGUGGUUUAUCAACAAGGAGGGAGGCCCUGCUGUUCCAGAAAAAGGAGCGCUAUCUCCUGUAAAAUUGCACGCACUGCGAAAUGCGUUCGACCUGCACGUCGACGCACAUCCGACUGCGGCAACGAAGGCGGAGCGCCAGAGAUGCGUCAACAUGCACCUCGCAGAUAUGC
This is a long non-coding RNA of Rhipicephalus microplus (southern cattle tick), 474 nucleotides long. Lineage: Eukaryota; Metazoa; Arthropoda; Arachnida; Ixodida; Ixodidae. The record is from RefSeq and is a predicted model, not a curated record.